UUUUGGGAAAUUGGUAUGGGUUAACAUGAAGAACUUGGGUAUUUACCUUAAUUAUUUGAUGAUGAAAACCUAAGUGAUAAAGCAGUAAUUAAACUCCAAUCGCCGUGUUGACAUGAAGCGGGGAUAGCUCAGUUGGGAGAGCGUCAGACUGAAGAUCUGAAGAUCAUUGUAUAACUCUACUGCCAGUAUCCAUCUGAAAGAUUGGAAUAUUUGGAUCUUUAAUUGGAGAUAAUAGGAAGCAUGGCUCACACUCUUGAAGGUAUUAAGGGUGGAGGAGGAUCCAUUAAGCUAGGGACAACUGGAACAAUCGGUACCUUAAUGACAAGGGAAUUGGACCAGAUUUCUUCUGCAGCAAACAAGCAGGUAUCUUCUAGAAGUAAACCUCGAACGCUUCCUGUUUCAGUUGCAUGUGGUACUACAACUCAGAAAAGACUACAACCAAGAAAAUCAUCAUCACACGAAGCUAGUAGCAGUGGAAGCAGUACUAACAAUACAAAACUUAAAAGUCCUGGAAUGUCCCAGAAAACAAAAACUAAUGGCAGAAAUAAUCAUAGAAUGCCCAUGCUAGGUUCCGAUAACUUUCCAGUGGAGAGAACUCCAUCCAGGCAGAAAAGUGAUAAAAAGAUACCUACCAUUGUUGAAGUCGUGGACAUAAAAUGUGGGAAUGCAGAUAAGGCUUGGGCUAACCCUUUGACAAAUCGUCUUAAGAAGCUCGGUUUCUCAAAGCUCUCUGAGAGCUUUAUCUAAAGCUGAAAUUUGUGUGUGUCAGACUUCAGAUUCUUGUAACUGAAAGCAGAAGUCCUAUUUGGCCUGCAGUUGUUGAUACAUCGACCAUUGAACACAUGCUUUGUAAGAGCUUGCUACUUCUUCUUUUCUUUGUACUUUCUAAUGUAGAUGCAAUUGUAGUAUCUCCAGAAGUUGUGCUAACGGAGGAUCCCAUGUCAGUCAUCUGGGACUUGUUUCUCUGUGACAUGCCUUGGGAAUUCAAUUCGAUCCCACUAAAGUACUGAAUUUCUUGCAUUAUGAGGGAUGCAACUGUGCCUCGGGUGCCUAUUUCUACUGGAGGAAAUUCAGCCAUCUCUUUUGUCUCAAUUGUGGCAAGGCUAGUGGACUUGUGCAUGUUAUAUUUGGUCGGUGUUGAGGCGACUAGAAAAUCUACUGAUUUAAGAAGAGUUGUUUGUGACUUUGUUCAAGUUGGGAAAUUCCAGAGACUCUGGGGCAUUUUCUUAGAUUUCAAGUGAUAUGCUUCACAUCAUAUUCAAAUAUCUGAUCAGCAUGACAUAUAAUAAGUCUGUGUUGUUAGGCGAUUGGUUGAUGACAUGAUCACUGCAUUAAUGCGCUUGUAGUUAUCAGCAUGUUCCUAGGUAUAUGCUAGGUCAUUAUCUGAGACUCAUCAUGCUAAGAUGGAAUGGAUCUGAAUAUGUGAUGGGAUUCAUGUGAAAGGUAAAAGUAGAAUGAUCCCUUUCAUAGAUUAUUUAAGUAAGAUGUUGUAUUCUUGUGUUUUAAUUGGAAAGGAAGAGUAGUAGGGAAACUAUCUCAAAAAAGUAACUAUUUAGUUGGCUGUUGUUCAGGUAUGAGGAAUUCUGGAUGAUAUUUGUUCAUUUUUUAUAAAUAGUAAAAAAACUGCAUCAUGGAU
Molecule: long non-coding RNA, 1636 nt
Filed under: Lupinus mutabilis
Lineage: Eukaryota; Viridiplantae; Streptophyta; Magnoliopsida; Fabales; Fabaceae
Description: partial ncRNA
Rfam family: tRNA (bases 118-188)
Source: RNAcentral